CCUGCUCCAUGAAAUUAAAUAGCCGCAAAUUCUGUGCUAAGGUAGCAUAAUAACUUGUUUCCUAAUUAGAAAAUAGAAUGAAAGGACAAACAUUAAUAUUCUUUAAUUUUUAUUUUAAUCUAAACUUCAAUAAAAAUAAAAAUAUUUUUAUUUAAUAGGAGGACGACAAGACCCUAACGAACUUAUCUUCAAAGAUUGACUGGGGUAGUAAAAAAAAAUAAAAUUUAUUUAUUUAUACUAAUUCAAGCUUUAAAGAACAUAAACAAAGUUACCAUAGGGAUAACAGCGCAAUUUAUAUUUAAAGUUCUAAUUAAAAUAUAAUAAUACGACCUCGAUGUUGAAUUAUUAUCUUCUGUAAUAAGCACAAAUAUUACAAGAAAGUCUGUUCGACUUUUAAAAUAUUACAU
Molecule: ribosomal RNA, 407 nt
Filed under: Ochyrocera sp. 473 FL-2019
Lineage: Eukaryota; Metazoa; Arthropoda; Arachnida; Araneae; Ochyroceratidae
Description: partial large subunit ribosomal RNA
Source: RNAcentral